RNAcentral lists this ribosomal RNA (510 nucleotides) under uncultured bacterium. RNAcentral's name for it is "partial 16S ribosomal RNA". It matches the Rfam family "Bacterial small subunit ribosomal RNA", at positions 28 to 507 of the family's 1533-position model. The record is from RNAcentral.
GACGAACGCUGGCGGCGUGCUUAACACAUGCAAGUCGAACGAAGAGCGAUGGAAGCUUGCUUCUAUCAAUCUUAGUGGCGAACGGGUGAGUAACGCGUAAUCAACCUGCCCUUCAGAGGGGGACAACAGUUGGAAACGACUGCUAAUACCGCAUACGAUCUAACCUCGGCAUCGAGGAAAGAUGAAAGGUGGCCUCUAUGUAUAAGCUAUCACUGAAGGAGGGGAUUGCGUCUGAUUAGCUAGUUGGAGGGGUAACGGCCCACCAAGGCGAUGAUCAGUAGCCGGUCUGAGAGGAUGAACGGCCACAUUGGGACUGAGACACGGCCCAGACUCCUACGGGAGGCAGCAGUGGGGAAUCUUCCGCAAUGGACGAAAGUCUGACGGAGCAACGCCGCGUGAGUGAUGACGGCCUUCGGGUCGUAAAGCUCUGUUAAUCGGGACGAAAGGCCUUCUUGCGAAUAGUGAGAAGGAUUGACGGUACCGGAAGAGAAAGCCACGGCUAACUACGUG